GACGAACCCGUCCGAACGUUAUUCGGAAUCACUGGGCUUAAAGAGUGCGUAGGCGGCUUAUCAGGCGGGGUGUGAAAUCCCUCGGCCCAACCGAGGAAUAGCGCUCCGAACCGAUAGGCUUGAGGAGGAUAGAGGUAAGCGGAACAGGUGGUGGAGCGGUGAAAUGCGUUGAUAUCAUCUGGAACACCUGUGGCGAAAGCGGCUUACUGGGUCCUUUCUGACGCUGAGGCACGAAAGCCAGGGUAGCGAACGGGAUUAGAACCUUCC
This 267-nucleotide ribosomal RNA is filed under the name uncultured bacterium. RNAcentral describes it as "partial 16S ribosomal RNA". It matches the Rfam family "Bacterial small subunit ribosomal RNA", at positions 524 to 787 of the family's 1533-position model. The record is from RNAcentral.